RNAcentral lists this ribosomal RNA (253 nucleotides) under uncultured bacterium. RNAcentral's name for it is "partial 16S ribosomal RNA". It matches the Rfam family "Bacterial small subunit ribosomal RNA", at positions 524 to 776 of the family's 1533-position model. The record is from RNAcentral.
UACAGAGGUCUCAAGCGUUGUUCGGAUUCAUUGGGCGUAAAGGGUGCGUAGGUGGCGAUGCAAGUCUGGUGUGAAAUCUCGGAGCUCAACUCCGAAAUUGCACCGGAUACUGCGUGACUCGAGGACUGUAGAGGAGAUCGGAAUUCACGGUGUAGCAGUGAAAUGCGUAGAUAUCGUGAGGAAGACCAGUUGCGAAGGCGGAUCUCUGGGCAGUUCCUGACACUGAGGCACGAAGGCCAGGGGAGCAAACGGG